GGAUUAGAUACCCUGGUAGUCCACGCCGUAAACGAUGAGUAUUUGGUGCUGGGGGAUUCGACCCUUUCAGUGCCGUAGCUAACGCGAUAAAUACUCCGCCUGGGGACUACGAUCGCAAGAUUGAGACUCAAAGGAAUUGACGGGGACCCGCACAAGCGGUGGAGCAUGUGGUUUAAUUCGAUGAUACGCGAGGAACCUUACCAAGGCUUAAAUGUAGUUUGACCGAUUUGGAAACAGAUCUUUCGCAAGACAAAUUACAAGGUGCUGCAUGGUUGUCGUCAGCUCGUGCCG
This 291-nucleotide ribosomal RNA is filed under the name uncultured bacterium. RNAcentral describes it as "partial 16S ribosomal RNA". It matches the Rfam family "Bacterial small subunit ribosomal RNA", at positions 775 to 1067 of the family's 1533-position model. The record is from RNAcentral.